ACAGACUCAGACUGGAGGACUGCAGAAAGGAGCUCAGUUCACUGCUGCUGGAGGAGAGGUUAGCUGGUGCAACGCUGCUAGUGUUUGCCAACAAACAGGACUUACCAGGAGCCCUGUCAAAAGAGGCAAUACAAGAGGCUCUGGCCCUGGAUGACAUCAAAAGCCAUCUGGUGCAUCAUUGGUAG
Long non-coding RNA from Gymnodraco acuticeps, 185 nucleotides. RefSeq lists it as uncharacterized. NCBI's taxonomy places the organism in Eukaryota, Metazoa, Chordata, Actinopteri, Perciformes, Bathydraconidae. The record is from RefSeq and is a predicted model, not a curated record. The transcript has 3 exons.